GUAACAUAUGAUUACUUGCAAACAAGAAUAUCCAAAGUAUUUUAACGCUAUGGUUACGCAGUUCACAACAGGUACCGCAAUCAUAAUUGUUAUCUCAUCAAACAUUGCCUCUAGCGUUUUAACUGAUCGUGAUGUGCUAGAUAUCGUUUGAUCAGUGCUUUGAAUAGACAGAGGUUUACUACAAGUACAAUAACAUCUAAAACAAUGCAUUUUCUGAUUCUAAGGAACAGGUCAAUCGCCGCUUGCACAACCUUUACAGCCGCAAUGGACACAUUCUAUAACCUUCUCCUCCCUUAGAUGCUGUGGAACUCGACAGACACAGGUUGUUUGAAAGUUGUGAUCCCGCGGUUGCAUGCACCUCAAACAGCAGAGACGCUCAUAACCAGGCUUUUUCCAUUUCGCAAUCAAAUUUCGAUCAGCAUAUCCUUGAUCCAUGCAAAACUCAUAUAAUUCCUUGGAGAUCUCUUUCCUCCUGUGAAAGAGAUCAAAAAUAUACCGGCU
Molecule: unclassified non-coding RNA, 501 nt
Filed under: Hevea brasiliensis (rubber tree)
Lineage: Eukaryota; Viridiplantae; Streptophyta; Magnoliopsida; Malpighiales; Euphorbiaceae
Source: RNAcentral